Molecule: long non-coding RNA, 228 nt
Filed under: Helianthus annuus (common sunflower)
Lineage: Eukaryota; Viridiplantae; Streptophyta; Magnoliopsida; Asterales; Asteraceae
Description: hypothetical non coding rna
Source: RNAcentral
UUAUUUGGUUAUUAUACAAGAACUCCAAAGCAAUCUCAGCAUAUGGACACAUUGAUUUACAUGAACAUUUCUGAGCUAUUCCAUAGGACGAUGAUCAUGAUUCUAGGGCGGACCUGUGCCUUAGAGCCUAAAAAUGAAGUUUGAACUAGCUUAAUUAUGUUUUGAUUUCCGUACUCUAUUUCCAAGACAAUGUAACACCUUUGUUUAUAAAUAAAAUACAACUUGUAU